GAGAGGCGGGUUGUUGAUACAAUUUUAAUACAAUUUUAGAACAUUACAUUCAUCACAGUAGUUAAAUGUUGUCCAGAUUCCAUAUUUUCUUUCCCGUUGUCCAUGUGUUCUGUGCUACCUAUAGCACUGGCAACUGUAAGAUGUUAACAAUAUUUUUUGUGAGAACAUGUCUCUAAUAUGUUCAGUGGUGAUGUGUUUCCUAGGUGUCCAAGUAAAUGGGGAAAACAACCCUUUGAGG
Molecule: non-coding RNA, 238 nt
Organism: Pelobates cultripes (western spadefoot toad)
Lineage: Eukaryota; Metazoa; Chordata; Amphibia; Anura; Pelobatidae
Source: the annotation of a GenBank genome assembly